GAUGAAGAACGCAGCGAAACGCGAUAAGUAAUGUGAAUUGCAGAAUUUAGUGAAUCAUCGAAUCUUUGAACGCACAUUGCGCCCGCUAGUAUUCUGGCGGGCAUGCCUGUCCGAGCGUCAUUUCAACCCUCAAGCCCCCGGGCUUGGUGUUGGGGAUCGGCGAGCCUCCGCGCCCGCCGUCCCCUAAAUCUAGUGGCGGUCUCGCUGUAGCUUCCUCUGCGUAGUAGCACACCUCGCACUGGGAAACAGCGCGGCCACGCCGUUAAACCCCCAACUUCUGAACGUUUGACCUCGGAUCAGGUAGGAAUACCCGCUGAACUUAAGCAUAUCAAUAAGCGGAGGA
This 343-nucleotide unclassified non-coding RNA is filed under the name soil metagenome. RNAcentral's name for it is "partial contains 5.8S ribosomal RNA, internal transcribed spacer 2, and large subunit ribosomal RNA". The stretch from base 1 to 120 matches the Rfam family "5.8S ribosomal RNA", at positions 35 to 154 of the family's 154-position model. The record is from RNAcentral.